RNAcentral lists this unclassified non-coding RNA (253 nucleotides) under uncultured Caryophanales bacterium. RNAcentral's name for it is "uncultured Bacillales bacterium contains 16S-23S intergenic spacer region". It matches the Rfam family "Bacterial small subunit ribosomal RNA", at positions 524 to 776 of the family's 1533-position model. The record is from RNAcentral. Lineage: Bacteria; Bacillati; Bacillota; Bacilli; Caryophanales.
UACGUAGGGGGCAAGCGUUGUCCGGAAUUAUUGGGCGUAAAGCGCGCGCAGGCGGUUCUAUAAGUCUGAUGUGAAGGACCACGGCUCAACCGUGGAGGGUCAUUGGAAACUGGGGAACUUGAGGACAGAAGAGGAGAGUGGAAUUCCACGUGUAGCGGUGAAAUGCGUAGAUAUGUGGAGGAACACCAGUGGCGAAGGCGACUCUCUGGUCUGUAACUGACGCUGAGGCGCGAAAGCGUGGGGAGCAAACAGG